CUGCGCUCUAGCACCACCCCGGCGAAGGCCGGGGCCCAGUUGGGGACGGUGCAUUGCCGGGUCCUGCCCGUCACCACGACCUUCCCGACUGGACCCCGGCCUUCGCCGGGGUGGUGCGUAUCAGA
This 125-nucleotide microRNA precursor is filed under the name Sphingomonas sp. BK481. RNAcentral's name for it is "microRNA MIR1846". The record is from RNAcentral. Lineage: Bacteria; Pseudomonadati; Pseudomonadota; Alphaproteobacteria; Sphingomonadales; Sphingomonadaceae.